This is a long non-coding RNA of Lotus japonicus, 1765 nucleotides long. RefSeq lists it as uncharacterized. NCBI's taxonomy places the organism in Eukaryota, Viridiplantae, Streptophyta, Magnoliopsida, Fabales, Fabaceae. The record is from RefSeq and is a predicted model, not a curated record. The transcript has 12 exons.
AGAUCAAAUCUAUACCGUUGAAAUCCUCCAGAAAUCGUUUGCGUUUCUCAAUUUUCAUCCGUUUUCAUAAUGGAGAAAGGUUUCUCUCUGAAGUCUGAACGUUCAAGUUUCUCGCUGUGCUCCGUUUCACUUCCCUUUUCCUUCCCAUCUUCCCAUUCGACGGUUCCCAAAAUCUACCACGUCAAAUAGAGAGAAAUCGAGAGAGAGAGAGAGAGAGAGAGAGAGAGAGAGAGAGAGAGAGGGAGGAUGAGAUUGGAGGCGAGAGACGUUGAGCGGCCACCGUCAGCGGUAAAAGAGAGCACUGGUGAGGCCAAGCCUCUUAGCGGAGGUGAAGGAGGCGACGUGGAAGACUCGAAGGAGGUUCGUAGGUUGUGGUGUUGCUACGGCUUUGGGUUCGUGUUGUGUGGCGCUUCAUUCCCUUUUCCUUCUUAUUCAUUCCUUUCUCUUUGCUGAUUCUUCCAUCUCCAAACUCAGGCGGUGGUGCUGCGAUCUACUCUUCUUCCUUCCCUUCUCUUUCCUGAUUCUUCAUCUCCCAGCCCAGACGGUGGUGAAAUGAUCUGGGAUUUAGGGUGUCGCUUUGCAUCACCUCCAUAGGUCUGCCGCUCUUUCGAUCAUCAGGAUUUGGUCAGGACAUUCUUCCUUCCAAGAUUAUGGUGGCUUCUACAUAACCUUGAUGCUGGUCUGGAUUCAGGCUUGCUGAUCCCUUGGCCUAUGGAAUUGUCAAUCCUUUCUUUCUUUGGCUUAAUAUUAGCAUCCAUGUUUGCUAAUGAGAUUUAGUGACUUAAAGAUGACGAGGACGUUUAUCAAGAGCAUGAUUUAGAGUUCGAAUUUGGAUUUGGCAACAUUAUAGUGGUCAAUAGCGGUGUUUCUCAAAUUUGUCUAGACCAUGCUGAGGAAUUCAGUCGCAUAAGCUUUGUGUAAGAGGAACGAAUUGGGGAUGAAGUAGAACUGUGUUCUGCUAGGAAUUCAGUCCUCCUUUCAGCACUACUGCAGCAGCUAUGGACUCCACCUCAUUAUGUAGAGUUGCAGUGGUACUGCUACAGUAAGGGGUCAAAUAUUGGGAAAUUGAAUUCGUGUGCAUAGCUUGGUCCUACCAUGGCUUCCCUUAGAUCUACUCCAUAAGGCAUGAUAUCAUGGAUGCCAAGUGUCUCAUGCCAGGCUUGCUGUUAGCCAUCAGAAAAGUAGUGCAUCUUAAGGUCCAUAUCUUUUUGAACUGUUGAGUGAAGAAAGUCUGCUGCCAAGAAGCCAGCAGCAGGCACCAGGAAGAUGAAUGCAGCAGCAAGAAGAAAACAAUCAUUAUGUCAGAAGUUCAUAACUGAUAUGUUGCAGCCUGCUGAAGUGAAUGAAUGGAUUCUUCAUAUACUUGGUCUAUCACUUAUUUCUCUUAACUGGCCAUAAUUUGAGGACUAGGAACUGCACAAACCAGGAGCUAAUUAUAGUGAAUGUUAAUGCAUAUGUAGUAUCACAAUUGGUAGAAUGUGAUCUAUCCCGGAAAAGAAAGAUGACAUAACUGAGGCUCCUUGACAUGAACAUUAAGAUCAAAUCCCUUCUUUAAUCUUAGCUCAGGAAAUACUGUACAUGUUAGGUAGACCUUUCAUGUGAAAGCUUCUUCAAGUAAACACUCCUCUUUACAAGCAUGACGGUUAAACUGAGAGGAACCGUUGCAACAGAAUGAUUAAGUGUGUGACUGCUGACCAUAUGAAAAGUGUAUGUAUAGAUCACUCUAUUAGUAGACUCAUGCAAGUGGAUAAUAAAUUAUUUUGAA